This 497-nucleotide ribosomal RNA is filed under the name uncultured bacterium. RNAcentral's name for it is "partial 16S ribosomal RNA". It matches the Rfam family "Bacterial small subunit ribosomal RNA", at positions 28 to 507 of the family's 1533-position model. The record is from RNAcentral.
GAUGAACGCUGGCGGCGUGCCUAAUACAUGCAAGUCGAACGCAUAGCGAAAGGUGCUUGCACCUUUCAAGUGAGUGGCGAACGGGUGAGUAACACGUGGACAACCUGCCUCAAGGCUGGGGAUAACAUUUGGAAACAGAUGCUAAUACCGAAUAAAACUUAGUGUCGCAUGACACAAAGUUAAAAGGCGCUUCGGCGUCACCUAGAGAUGGAUCCGCGGUGCAUUAGUUAGUUGGUGGGGUAAAGGCCUACCAAGACAAUGAUGCAUAGCCGAGUUGAGAGACUGAUCGGCCACAUUGGGACUGAGACACGGCCCAAACUCCUACGGGAGGCUGCAGUAGGGAAUCUUCCACAAUGGGCGAAAGCCUGUUGGAGCAACGCCGCGUGUGUGAUGAAGGCUUUCGGGUCGUAAAGCACUGUUGUAUGGGAAGAACAGCUAGAAUAGGAAAUGAUUUUAGUUUGACGGUACCAGACCAGAAAGGGACGGCUAAAUACGUG